UCGGUCUGGGAUGGACUCGCGGCCUAUCAGCUUGUUGGUGAGGUAACGGCUCACCAAGGCGACGACGGGUAGCCGGCCUGAGAGGGCGACCGGCCACACUGGGACUGAGACACGGCCCAG
Molecule: ribosomal RNA, 120 nt
Filed under: uncultured bacterium
Lineage: Bacteria
Description: partial 16S ribosomal RNA
Rfam family: Bacterial small subunit ribosomal RNA
Source: RNAcentral